Molecule: ribosomal RNA, 165 nt
Filed under: Apios americana
Lineage: Eukaryota; Viridiplantae; Streptophyta; Magnoliopsida; Fabales; Fabaceae
Description: 5.8S ribosomal RNA
Rfam family: 5.8S ribosomal RNA
About the family: 5.8S ribosomal RNA (5.8S rRNA) is a component of the large subunit of the eukaryotic ribosome. It is transcribed by RNA polymerase I as part of the 45S precursor that also contains 18S and 28S rRNA.
Source: RNAcentral
AUACAAUGACUCUCGGCAACGGAUAUCUCGGCUCUCGCAUCGAUGAAGAACGUAGCGAAAUGCGAUACUUGGUGUGAAUUGCAGAAUCCCGUGAACCAUCGAGUCUUUGAACGCAAGUUGCGCCCGAAGCCAUUAGGUCGAGGGCACGCCUGCCUGGGUGUCACA